Molecule: long non-coding RNA, 2395 nt
Organism: Polypterus senegalus (gray bichir)
Lineage: Eukaryota; Metazoa; Chordata; Cladistia; Polypteriformes; Polypteridae
Exons: 2
Source: RefSeq, a predicted model, not a curated record
UGUGUGUCCUUAUGUCUGUCUGUCCUCACUCGUCUCUCUUCUUCUUCUUCACAGGUUGAACUUUUGUGGUCUCACCUCGGCCUGCUGCUCAGCUCUCUCCUCGGUCCUCUCGUAUCCAGACUCACGGCUUACAUAUCUGGACCUGAACAACAACAAGCUGGGCGAUGCAGGGGCUCGUCAGCUGAGUGAGGGUCUCAGGAGUGACAACUGUAUAUUAAAGGAACUGUGGCUGUGGAGUAAUGGGAUCAGUAAGAGUGAGAAGAGGAACCUGAAGUCACUACAGGAGGAGCUGAGGAGGUCUGGACGUCAGCUGACUAUCAGUACAUCAAUUUUCUAGCUCUGGUGAUCAGACUGACCCCCCUGUCAGUGAUGGAGCCUCCCGUCCACUCACCCCUAAAUUCUCAUCUUUCUUCUUUUUCUUCUCCUCUCAGCUCUGCUCCUCAUUUAAUAAACUCUCUGUGUCUCCUCAUCCUGUGUGCUCCUCCUUUAACGUCAGUUUUAUUUUUACCACCUUGAAACCCUCAACUGGUGACAAAACUUAAGCAGACUCGGAACUGCAGUCCCCCCCCACCCCAAGUUUCACCACUAGAAGCAGUAAAGUAGUGGAGGUCAUCCUGUAAAAAGUCCUCCAAGUAGGAGCAAAGAGAGUUGGACAGUCCAGCUGUGUGGUGACAGGGGCCCGAGGCUGUAGUGACACUGGGGACAAGGCUGGGACAAACCCUGGACAGGACGCUGGUCCAUCACAGGACGCAAUCAGCUCUUGUCUCCAUCGUCACUGUGUCAUUUGAACCCGUGUCUGCUCUGUGUCCCCCAAGUCCUGUCUGCCACCUGCUGAUUGUCCUUUGGUGACACUAACUCCCACGAGGCUCAGUUUUGAUUUUCUUUUUUAUUCCAUUGUCUCCACUUCACCAUCCCCUCCAGUCGUGUCCUCGUAGUGAGCAGCGGCCUGAACAAGUUAGCCAUUAAAAAGAAAUAAAAGAAAAGACGAGCAGAACAUGUAGGAGUGUGGAGAUGGGAUGGAUUGGCGCCGUCCAGGGUGGGGUCCUGACUUGAUGUGGACAGACGGCCACUGAGGGACCACCACCUGAACUGGACUGAGGGGGAUUAGAAAAUGGAAGGAGAAACAGAGGGGAAUAAGCUGAACUGGGAAUUAAGAAAGAGACAAGGACAAGAGUGGGAGAGAAGAAAACAGAGAGAUGAACAAGAGGGGCAAGGAGGAGAGAGUUAUAAAAUUGAGGUCAGUGACGCAGUUGGGACGAGGACAGAUGAGGAGGAGGAGGUCAUCUGUUUGUCACAAAUCACAGCAGGAUUGUCUAUCAGGGGUUUACAGUUGGUGGUCAGGGGGCUGAGAUGAACUGUAGAAGCACAAGUGAAGUCAGAAGGUCCAGAACACACAAGAUCUGUUUGUAUGUCAUGUAGACGAAGAGAAUGAGGUGACCUCCAUGUCUUCAUGUCUUAAUGUCUUCUGGACAUUCCAAUAAAGGGUUAAGAGAAUUGGUUUGGAUCUGUUGAGUGGAAAAUACGUCAGAGUGUCAUCUGUGUAGCCAUGGAGAGAAAUAUUGAGUUAUUUAAAAAUGGAUACUAAGAGGAACAUCUACAGUGAAAUAAAGAAUAGGCCGCAGAAUAGAGAGGGGCUGAGGAUGAGAGGCGGACCACCUGACUAAAAGCCUCUGCCUGUGAGGUGUGACUGAGCCAAGAUGGGCGAUGAGGAUGUCAUGGUCAGCUGGGUCAAAUACUGCAGUCAGAGCUAACAGCAACAGGACAGCGGGACCACCAGAGUCUCUUAUUAAAAAGACAAGGAAUGGGAGACAGCAGAGAGCGGCCAUAUUUAUAGAAAAUGAAGAAAAGCCGACGGACAACACGACAAGGGCAGACAUUUGUGUUUCUAAGGUCAGUCGUCUUGUAGGAGACAUUAGUGCCAUCUUGAUUGGCAUCAUCUGUAGUGAGACCCUCAUGGACUAAAAGACCACCAGACCUUCACUCCACUGAGCCUCAGUUCAGGUUUGAGCAGAUCAGUGACACGUGUGUGUUGGUGUGAAGACGUAAAGAUGGACGACAUCCUCAGUUAUUGGUGACAAAGAGCAGCUGGCUCCACUGAUAUCACUGCUGUGAUUUGUGAAUGUGACUCACUGUUAAUAAAAUAUGAAAUAAGAGAAACUGUGAGAACGGACCCUUUGAUGAAGUUUCAAAUGUACCAACAUCCAAACCAGCCGAGCGAGUCACCAAACACACCGGAGUGUCACGUCACCCAUGCCCGUCACUUUGUGUCCUUGCAGCCCCUCACCUCCCUACCUGCUCGUCGUCUUCUCCUCUUUACUGCUCUUUGUAUUCUGAAGUGUAAUAAACACAAGUGUGCUGAGGUACGAGAAAUAAACUUGGGCCAGGACUGACGAGA